This 253-nucleotide ribosomal RNA is filed under the name uncultured bacterium. RNAcentral describes it as "partial 16S ribosomal RNA". It matches the Rfam family "Bacterial small subunit ribosomal RNA", at positions 524 to 776 of the family's 1533-position model. The record is from RNAcentral.
UACGAAGGGUGCAAGCGUUACUCGGAAUUACUGGGCGUAAAGCGUGCGUAGGUGGUUGUUUAAGUCUGCUGUGAAAGCCCUGGGCUCAACCUGGGAAUUGCAGUGGAUACUGGGCGACUAGAGUGUGAUAGAGGAUAGUGGAAUUUCCGGUGUAGCAGUGAAAUGCGUAGAGAUCGGAAGGAACAUCUGUGGCGAAGGCGACUAUCUGGGCCAACACUGACACUGAGGCACGAAAGCGUGGGGAGCAAACAGG